This 460-nucleotide RNase P RNA is filed under the name Corynebacterium sp. RNAcentral's name for it is "RNase P RNA component class A". It matches the Rfam family "Bacterial RNase P class A". Rfam says of the family: Ribonuclease P (RNase P) is a ubiquitous endoribonuclease, found in archaea, bacteria and eukarya as well as chloroplasts and mitochondria. Its best characterised activity is the generation of mature 5'-ends of tRNAs by cleaving the 5'-leader elements of precursor-tRNAs. The record is from RNAcentral. Lineage: Bacteria; Bacillati; Actinomycetota; Actinomycetes; Mycobacteriales; Corynebacteriaceae.
CGAGCCGGCCGGGCGAUUGCGUCAGUAAACGGAACCAGGUGCAUCUUUUGGUGCAUUCAAGGCCGCUGUCGAGGAAAGUCCGGACUCCAUAUGGGCAUGGUGGUUGCUAACAGCAACCCAGGGUGACCUGCGGGAAUAGUGCCACAGAAAAUAGACCGCCGAGCACGCAGCCGAGGUUUUACCGUCUGCCGCGGCAGACUCGGUCAGGGUGAAAAGGUGCGGUAAGAGCGCACCAGCGGGGCAAGUGAUUGCACCGGCUAGGUAAACCCCACCAGGAGCAAGGCAAAAGCGCGCAUGCUUGUCGUGUGCGUGCGCGAGUGUUUGAGGGCUGCCCGCCCGAUACUCGUGGGUGUGCUGCUUGAGCCUGUCAGCAAUGGCAGACCGAGAUGGAUGAUCGCCACCGUAUGCGCCCGCAAGGGACAUGGCGGGACAGAAUCCGGCUUACAGGCCGACUCGCUCC